RNAcentral lists this ribosomal RNA (294 nucleotides) under uncultured bacterium. RNAcentral's name for it is "partial 16S ribosomal RNA". It matches the Rfam family "Bacterial small subunit ribosomal RNA", at positions 335 to 646 of the family's 1533-position model. The record is from RNAcentral.
UGACCUACGGGACGCAGCAGUGGGGAAUAUUGGACAAUGGGGGGAACCCUGAUCCAGCGACGCCGCGUGAGUGAAGAAGUAUUUCGGUAUGUAAAGCUCUAUCAGCAGGGAAGAAAAUGACGGUACCUGACUAAGAAGCCCCGGCUAACUACGUGCCAGCAGCCGCGGUAAUACGUAGGGGGCAAGCGUUAUCCGGAUUUACUGGGUGUAAAGGGAGCGUAGACGGCUGCGCAAGUCUGAAGUGAAAUCCCGGGGCUCAACCCCGGGACUGCUUUGGAAACUGUGUAGCUAGGG